Molecule: long non-coding RNA, 1424 nt
Organism: Myotis lucifugus (little brown bat)
Lineage: Eukaryota; Metazoa; Chordata; Mammalia; Chiroptera; Vespertilionidae
Exons: 2
Source: RefSeq, a predicted model, not a curated record
GACGCUGGCUCCGGGGAGGGCAGAGCAGCCGCUGAAACAAGGAGGGCGGCCGGCACCCCAGAUGCAGAGAGCGCCCCAGAGAUCCCGACAGUUGUUAUUGAAGAUGAUAGGAUUGAUGACGUGCUGAAAACUAUGACAGACAAGGCACCUCCUGGUAUUUAACUCCCCCAAAGACAAUGGGUUAAGGGUGAGGAUAAGAAUAAGAACGGCGCUAACAGUUAUUGGCAAAAAGAGUGUGAAAGGAGGAAGCACUUUGAAAUUUAUUACUAGCUUGCUACCUGCGAUGGAAUCAACAGCCUGUAUGUCGAGUCAGGCCGGGAGACAGAUGAUGAGGCGGGAGGAGGAGGAGGAGGAGGAGGAGAAGGCUCUGGGCUCCUCUGCAAAAAAUAAAAUUAAAAAAAUAAAUAACAAAAUCACUAUAUACACACACAUAUAAAGAAAUAAAGUCUCAGUUGCAGCUAUUUGUCAAAAUUAAUAUCCAUUUCUUUUUAUAUACAGUGAAUGUUGCGCAAUUAUAGAUCCGGAUUUUGAACCACUUUAAUAGUGAAGCGGCAGCACCGGGUGUUUGAGGUGGUGGCAACCUUCGCUGAUUUGGCUGUUCCCAAUGUUUACAUUAUUUAGUCUUGCAAAAAUUAUUCUGUGCACUUGGAUGUGAAAUGCUGUUCAGUUUUAUUUUUUUAUGUUGUUAUCCUUGGAUGUACAAAAAAAAUACCAGAAAAUGAUCUGUAUAGAUAUUCUGUUUUAUUUUGGUCCUCUUUCAAAGUUAAUCAGGAAUGUGUUGAAGAUAAGAGAACUUUUCUAAGAAAUGAUGGCUACAUAGAAAGAAUCCCUGUUUUAUUUUAAAAUGAAUUGUAAAGCUGUGUUUCUUUCUUGCUGCAAGCUAUUUGCCCAAGUUAAUGCAAAUGGAUACAUUUUUCUAUGUCAGGAAAGAAAAACCAUAAAAAAAAACAAAAACAAAGAAAAAAAAUGCUUGAGCUUUUUCUAAUCUCUCUCUGCAGUCUGUUGGGUGAGCAGCCUGUUUUUUUCUCUGAUAUUGUGUCAGUUUGUUUUCUUUAAUGGACUGUAAAAAAAAAAUGUAAUCACAAGAGUGCCAAAUAUCUUGAAAUGCCAAACGGCAUUUUGGUUUCUUUUCUUUUUCUUUGUGCUCUGAGUCCACGUAAAGGAAUGCUUAGAGUGUCUUUUCUGUUAUUUAUAGGGGUUCUCUUAAGGCACACCAGCUGCCUGUUUUGCAUGGUAUUUGCAAAAAUGCCUCUUGCGUGAGGAAAUCUUUUACCAUCUUUUCGUUUGCAACUUUGGACCUCAAGAGGUUUCUUCCCUUCCCUUCCCUGGUCCUCUUUUCUUAAUUCGAUAUUCUGUAUGUUGCACCUUUAACCAGCACACAGGGCUAUUUCUCCGAUGUACAAUAAAAGAACUGUUCCUGUGUC